This 2027-nucleotide long non-coding RNA is filed under the name Salmo salar (Atlantic salmon). RNAcentral describes it as "lncRNA (ENSSSAG00000091376.1)". Lineage: Eukaryota; Metazoa; Chordata; Actinopteri; Salmoniformes; Salmonidae. The record is from RNAcentral.
CUGUAUGGCGCUACAGAGGGUAGUACGUACAGCCCAGUACAUCACUGGGGCCAAGCUUCCUGCCAUCCAGGACCUAUAUACUAGGCGGUGUCAGAGGAAGGCCCAAAAAAUUGUCAAAGACUCCAGUCACUCAUGUCAUAGACUGUUCUCUCUACUACUGCAUGGCAAAUGGUACCGGAGCACCAAGUCUAUGUCCAAAAGGCUCCUUAAGGGCUUGUAAGUAAGCAUUUCACAGUAAGGUCUACACCUGUUGUAUUCGAUACAGGUACUUUCUCUCAGAUACAGGACAAAGGGUAGAGAUGAGUGAGAGGAGAGAGAAGAGGACAGAGGGUAGAGAUGAGUGAGAGGAGAGAGGGUAGAGAUGAGUGAGAGGAGAGAGAAGAGGAGAGAGGGUAGAGAUGAGUGAGAGGAGAGAGGGUAGAGAUGAGUGAGAGGAGAGAGGGUAGAGAUGAGAGGAGAGAGGGUAGAGAUGAGUGAGAAGAGAGAGGGUAGAGAUGAGUGAGAAGAGAGAGGGUAGAGAUGAGUGAGAGGAGAGAGGGUAGAGAUGAGAGGGUAGAGGUGAGAGGAGAGAGGGUAGAGAUGAGUGAGAGGAGAGAGGGUAGAGAUGAGUGAGAGGAGAGAGGGUAGAGAUGAGGAGAGGAGAGAGGGUAGAGAUGAGAGGGUAGAGAUGAGUGAGAAGAGAGAGGGUAGAGAUGAGUAAGAGGAGAGAGGGUAGAGAUGAGUGAGAGGAGAUGAGUGAGAGGAGAAUCGUUGUUUUUCAUGCAGGUCUGUGUGCACACCUGUACAUCUGUUUAUAUGCUUUUGUAUGUUUGUGUGUGUGUGAGUGUGAGUGUGUGCAUACAUGGAUUUGUACAUCUGUAUGCAUGCAUGUGUGUGUGUGUGUGUGUGUGUGUGUGUAGGCCCCUGUGUGUCUGUACGUAUAUGUCUGUCUCUCUUUGUGUGCGUGUCAUAUUAGGUGAGAAUUAGCACACAAGUAGGGACCACCCUCAUGACUUUGAGUGAGAGGAGAAAUGAGGAGAGAGGGUAGAGAUGAGUGAGAGGAGAGAGGGCAGAGAUGAGUGAGAGGGUAGAGAUGAGAGGGUAGAGAUGAGUGAGAGGAGAGAGGGUAGAGAUGAGUGAGAGGAGAGAUGAGUGAGAGGAGAGAGGGCAGAGAUGAGUGAGAGGGUAGAGAUGAGUGAGAGGAGAGAGGGUAGAGAUGAGUGAGAGGGUAGAGAUGAGAGGGUAGAGAUGAGUGAGAGGAGAGAGGGUAGAGAUGAGUGAGAGGGUAGAGAUGAGUGAGAGGAGAGAGGGCAGAGAUGAGAGGAGAGAGGGUAGAGAUGAGAGGAGAGAGGUGAGAGGAGAGAGGGUAGAGAUGAGAGGGUAGAGAUGAGUGAGAGGAGAGAGGGUAGAGAUGAGUGAGAGGAGAGAGGGUAGAGAUGAGAGGAGAGAGGGUAGAGAUGAGAGGGUAGAGAUGAGUGAGAGGAGAGAGGGUAGAGAUGAGAGGAGAGAGGGUAGAGAUGAGAGGGUAGAGAUGAGUGAGAGGAGAAAGAAGAGGGAGACGAGGGAGAAGGGGAGAGAGAAGAGGGAGAAAGGUGAAUGAGAGAAAGUAGACUAGAGGGAGGUGAAGUUGUUGCCUGAGGGCAUAUGUCCAGUCUAGCUCCCUUCUCUCCCUCCUCUCUCUCUCGCCCAGCACAGUCAGUCAGUCAGUUAGACACACAGAGCAAAUAGACUCUCCCAGUCUCCCAGUGGAGUACAGGGGCAUCUCUGUCAGGACAGGACAGAGGCUCUGCUUUAUCCGCUCAGGGCAACAGGAAGGCCAGACUGCACCACCCACUAGGACCCACCUCCCACCACCACACAGGGAUACUAUGGAUCCUAACACACUGGUCAAUGGGAGAUGCUGUCCCAAGGGCAGGAGGAGAGCGAAGAGACAGCCUGGAACAGUGAGGGACUGUUGUAUCUGAGUGACUGGAUGUCUUGAGCUAGGAGGCUCUGCAAAAUAGUUUUUUGUUUAGACAGGUCUGUGUGAAUAGUUGUUUUUCAGGCAG